RNAcentral lists this ribosomal RNA (1200 nucleotides) under Kocuria palustris. RNAcentral describes it as "bacterial SSU rRNA". It matches the Rfam family "Bacterial small subunit ribosomal RNA", at positions 154 to 1363 of the family's 1533-position model. The record is from RNAcentral. Lineage: Bacteria; Bacillati; Actinomycetota; Actinomycetes; Micrococcales; Micrococcaceae.
AAACUGGGUCUAAUACUGGAUGCUACAUGUCACCGCAUGGUGGUGUGUGGAAAGGGUUUACUGGUCUUGGAUGGGCUCACGGCCUAUCAGCUUGUUGGUGAGGUAAUGGCUCACCAAGGCGACGACGGGUAGCCGGCCUGAGAGGGUGACCGGCCACACUGGGACUGAGACACGGCCCAGACUCCUACGGGAGGCAGCAGUGGGGAAUAUUGCACAAUGGGCGAAAGCCUGAUGCAGCGACGCCGCGUGAGGGAUGACGGCCUUCGGGUUGUAAACCUCUUUCAGCAGGGAAGAAGCCACAAGUGACGGUACCUGCAGAAGAAGCGCCGGCUAACUACGUGCCAGCAGCCGCGGUAAUACGUAGGGCGCAAGCGUUGUCCGGAAUUAUUGGGCGUAAAGAGCUCGUAGGCGGUUUGUCGCGUCUGCUGUGAAAGCCCGGGGCUUAACCCCGGGUGUGCAGUGGGUACGGGCAGACUAGAGUGCAGUAGGGGAGACUGGAAUUCCUGGUGUAGCGGUGGAAUGCGCAGAUAUCAGGAGGAACACCGAUGGCGAAGGCAGGUCUCUGGGCUGUUACUGACGCUGAGGAGCGAAAGCAUGGGGAGCGAACAGGAUUAGAUACCCUGGUAGUCCAUGCCGUAAACGUUGGGCACUAGGUGUGGGGGACAUUCCACGUUUUCCGCGCCGUAGCUAACGCAUUAAGUGCCCCGCCUGGGGAGUACGGCCGCAAGGCUAAAACUCAAAGGAAUUGACGGGGGCCCGCACAAGCGGCGGAGCAUGCGGAUUAAUUCGAUGCAACGCGAAGAACCUUACCAAGGCUUGACAUGUACCGGAUCGUUCCAGAGAUGAUUCUUCCCCUUUGGGGUCGGUAUACAGGUGGUGCAUGGUUGUCGUCAGCUCGUGUCGUGAGAUGUUGGGUUAAGUCCCGCAACGAGCGCAACCCUCGUUCCAUGUUGCCAGCACGUGAUGGUGGGGACUCAUGGGAGACUGCCGGGGUCAACUCGGAGGAAGGUGGGGAUGACGUCAAAUCAUCAUGCCCCUUAUGUCUUGGGCUUCACGCAUGCUACAAUGGCCGGUACAAAGGGUUGCGAUACUGUGAGGUGGAGCUAAUCCCAAAAAGCCGGUCUCAGUUCGGAUUGAGGUCUGCAACUCGACCUCAUGAAGUCGGAGUCGCUAGUAAUCGCAGAUCAGCAACGCUGCGGU